This 406-nucleotide ribosomal RNA is filed under the name uncultured bacterium. RNAcentral's name for it is "partial 16S ribosomal RNA". It matches the Rfam family "Bacterial small subunit ribosomal RNA", at positions 30 to 526 of the family's 1533-position model. The record is from RNAcentral.
AUUGAACGCUGGCGGCAGGCCUAACACAUGCAAGUCGAACGAGUGGCGGACGGGUGAGUAAUGUCUGGGAAACUGCCUGAUGGCGGGGGAUAACUACUGGAAACGGUAGCUAAUACCGCAUACCAUCGGAUGUGCCCAGAUGGGAGUCGCUAGUAGGGGGGGUAAAGGCUCACCUACGCGACGAUCCCUAGCUGGUCUGAGAGGAUGACCAGCCACACUGGAACUGAGACACGGUCCAGACUACUACGGGAGGCCGCAGUGGGGAAGAUUGCACAAUGGGCUCAAGCCUGAUGCAGCCAUGCCGCGUGUAUGAAGAAGGCCUUCGGGUUGUAAAGUACUUUCAGCGGGGCGGCGUUACCCGCAGAAGAAGCACCGGCUAACUCCGUGCCAGCAGCCGCGGUAAUAC